Non-coding RNA from Coffea arabica (coffee), 193 nucleotides. Lineage: Eukaryota; Viridiplantae; Streptophyta; Magnoliopsida; Gentianales; Rubiaceae. The record is from RefSeq and is a predicted model, not a curated record.
UUUUUUGUACCAUUUUUGGAGAGGAAGGGAAAUUUCCUGAGGUCAUGCAAGCUGCACAACUUGUUAAUGUGCCAGAUUAUCACUCUAUAGACAGAAGCUCAGCUAAAAGGACAUUACAGAUGUAACUAACAAAGACUUCGAUGCAAAAAAAAGAUUGGAAAUGAUUCAGAUAGUUUGUCUUCAAUUGAGUCAA